ACAUACUUCUUUCUUUUUAAGUAGGUUUAUCUGGGUCACUAUUAUAAAGAACGUGUUGUCUUUUGUAGUCUGCUGGUGCUGUCGUCACCCAGAGCCAGCCGUACAGAAAACGAGCUGGUGUCCUUGAGUAAUGAAGAUUAUGCGGUGUAUGUGAGACACGCUAUUCAGGGGUGUGACCGUCCUGCUCCUCCUGGAGUUCUACGUCUGCUUCCUGGUGUCCUGUGUGUGUUCCUACACGUCACCUGGUCCAGGUACGUGUGUGUGUGUGUGUGUGUGUGUGUGUGUGUGUGUCCUGUGCCUGC
Camelus dromedarius (Arabian camel) is the source of this 302-nucleotide long non-coding RNA. Lineage: Eukaryota; Metazoa; Chordata; Mammalia; Artiodactyla; Camelidae. The record is from Ensembl.